UACGUAGGGGGCAAGCGUUGUCCGGAUUUAUUGGGCGUAAAGAGCGUGUAGGCGGCUAUACAGGUCCGCUGUGAAAACUCGAGGCUCAACCUCGAGACGUCGGUGGAAACCGUAUGGCUAGAGUCCGGAAGAGGAGAGUGGAAUUCCUGGUGUAGCGGCGAAAUGCGCAGAUAUCAGGAAGAACACCCGUGGCGAAGGCGGCUCUCUGGGACGGUACUGACGCUGAGACGCGAAAGCGUGGGGAGCGAACAGG
This 253-nucleotide ribosomal RNA is filed under the name uncultured bacterium. RNAcentral describes it as "partial 16S ribosomal RNA". It matches the Rfam family "Bacterial small subunit ribosomal RNA", at positions 524 to 776 of the family's 1533-position model. The record is from RNAcentral.